This 443-nucleotide ribosomal RNA is filed under the name uncultured bacterium. RNAcentral's name for it is "partial 16S ribosomal RNA". It matches the Rfam family "Bacterial small subunit ribosomal RNA", at positions 338 to 795 of the family's 1533-position model. The record is from RNAcentral.
CCUACGGGUGGCAGCAGUGGGGAAUAUUGGGCAAUGGGCGCAAGCCUGACCCAGCAACGCCGCGUGAAGGAAGAAGGCUCUCGGGUUGUAAACUUCUUUCAUCAGGGACGAAGCAAGCGACGGUACCCGAUGAAGAAGCGACGGCUAACUACGCGCCAGCAGCCGCGGUAAUACGUAGGUGGCAAGCGUUAUCCGGAUUUACUGGGUGUAAAGGGCGUGUAGGCGGGAGAGCAAGUCAGAUGUGAAAACCAUGGGCUCAACCUGUGGGCUGUAUUUGAAACUGUUUUUCUUGAGUGCUGGAGAGGCAGACGGAAGUCCUAGUGUAGCGGUGAAAUGCGUAGAUAUUAGGAGGAACACCAGUGGCGAAGGCGGUCUGCUGGACGGCGACUGACGCUGAGGCGCGAAAGCGUGGGGAGCAAACAGGAUUAGAUACCCCUGUAGUC